Molecule: long non-coding RNA, 263 nt
Filed under: Lupinus angustifolius (narrow-leaved blue lupine)
Lineage: Eukaryota; Viridiplantae; Streptophyta; Magnoliopsida; Fabales; Fabaceae
Description: long non-coding RNA (LANG_LNC003564)
Source: RNAcentral
AAGGAAGAAAUUUUACCUUUCUUUCUCAUUUCUCCCCUCCCCUUAUGUACUUUUUGAUAUCUCUCAUUUCAUUUCCUUUAUAACUCAUAAAUAAAACCUAAGAGAGGGUUGAACAUGGAAGAGGGAAAAAUCAACCAGUUUAGAGCAUAUUUGGAACACUGUCCAAAGUAUUAGACAUUGAACAUGUCUACAGCUUCCACGACAACAAGAUUGAAUUGGAAAUGGUAACCUAGAUGACGACGUCAGCGAUGACAACGAGGCAC